Molecule: ribosomal RNA, 200 nt
Filed under: uncultured bacterium
Lineage: Bacteria
Description: partial 16S ribosomal RNA
Rfam family: Bacterial small subunit ribosomal RNA
Source: RNAcentral
AACGAACGCUGGCGGCAGGCUUAACACAUGCGAGUCGAACGCCCCGCAGGGGGAGUGGCAGACGGGUGAGUAACGCGUGGGAAUCUACCUAGUUCUACGGAACAACAGUUGGAAACGACUGCUAAUACCGUAUACGCCCUACGGGGGAAAGAUUUAUCGGAAUUAGAUGAGCCCGCGUAAGAUUAGCUAGUUGGUGAGGU